Molecule: ribosomal RNA, 1178 nt
Filed under: Pseudomonas aeruginosa
Lineage: Bacteria; Pseudomonadati; Pseudomonadota; Gammaproteobacteria; Pseudomonadales; Pseudomonadaceae
Description: bacterial SSU rRNA
Rfam family: Bacterial small subunit ribosomal RNA
Source: RNAcentral
CUGGUCGAGCGGAUGAAGGGAGCUUGCUCCUGGAUUCAGCGGCGGAGGGGUGAGUAAUGCCUAGGAAUCUGCCUGGUAGUGGGGGAUAACGUCCGGAAACGGGCGCUAAUACCGCAUACGUCCUGACGGAGAAAGUGGGGGAUCUUCGGACCUCUGGCUAUCCGAUGAGCCUAGGUCGGAUUACCUAGUUGGUGGGGUAAAGGCCUACGGAGGGGACAAUCCGUGACUGGUCUGAGAGGAUGAUCAGUCACAGUGGGACUGAGACACGGUCCAAACUCCUAGGGGAGGGGGUAACGGGGAAUAUUGGACAAUGGGCGAAAGCCUGAUCCAGCCAUGCCGCGUGUGUGAAGAAGGUCUUCGGAUUGUAAAGCACUUUAAGUUGGGAGGAAGGGCAGUAAGUUAAUACCUUGCUGUUUUGACGUUACCAACAGAAUAAGCACCGGCUAACUUCGUGCCAGCAGCCGCGGUAAUACGAAGGGUGCAAGCGUUAAUCGGAAUUACUGGGCGUAAAGCGCGCGUAGGUGGUUCAGCAAGUUGGAUGUGAAAUCCCCGGGCUCAACCUGGGAACUGCAUCCAAAACUACUGAGCUAGAGUACGGUAGAGGGUGGUGGAAUUUCCUGUGUAGCGGUGAAAUGCGUAGAUAUAGGAAGGAACACCAGUGGCGAAGGCGACCACCUGGACUGAUACUGACACUGAGGUGCGAAAGCGUGGGGAGCAAACAGGAUUAGAUACCCUGGUAGUCCACGCCGUAAACGAUGUCGACUAGCCGUUGGGAUCCUUGAGAUCUUAGUGGCGCAGCUAACGCGAUAAGUCGACCGCCUGGGGAGUACGGCCGCAAGGUUAAAACUCAAAUGAAUUGACGGGGGCCCGCACAAGCGGUGGAGCAUGUGGUUUAAUUCGAGCAACGCGAAGAACCUUACCUGGCCUUGACAUGCUGAGAACUUUCCAGAGAUGGAUUGGUGCCUUCCGGAACUCAGACACAGGUGCUGCAUGGCUGUCGUCAGCUCGUGUCGGAAAUGUUGGGUUAAGUCCCGUAACGACCCCACCCUUGUCCUUAUUACCAGCACCUCGGUGGGCAUCUAAGGAACUGCGGUGACAACCGAAGAAAUUGGGAUAACUCAAUCAUCAUGCCCUUACGGCAGGGCUACCACGUGCUACAUGGUCGGACAAAGGUUGCA